RNAcentral lists this ribosomal RNA (192 nucleotides) under uncultured bacterium. RNAcentral describes it as "partial 16S ribosomal RNA". It matches the Rfam family "Bacterial small subunit ribosomal RNA", at positions 338 to 523 of the family's 1533-position model. The record is from RNAcentral.
CCUACGGGAGGCAGCAGUCGAGAAUUUUUCACAAUGGGCGAAGGCCUGAUGGAGCGACGCCGCGUGGGGGAUGAAUGGCUUCGGCCCGUAAACCCCUGUCAUUUGCGAACAAACCUUGUCAUUUAAAAGAUGACGAGCUGAUUGUAGCGAAAGAGGAAGGGACGGCUAACUCUGUGCCAGCAGCCGCGGUAA